This 22-nucleotide transfer RNA is filed under the name Apis mellifera (honey bee). RNAcentral describes it as "partial tRNA-Leu". Lineage: Eukaryota; Metazoa; Arthropoda; Insecta; Hymenoptera; Apidae. The record is from RNAcentral.
GUAUUUUUAAACUUUUAUUAAU